UGCAAGUCGAACGGCAGCGCGGGGCAACCUGGCGGCGAGUGGCGAACGGGUGAGUAAUAUAUCGGAACGUGCCCUGGAGUGGGGGAUAACGUAGCGAAAGUUACGCUAAUACCGCAUACGAUCUAAGGAUGAAAGUGGGGGACCGCAAGGCCUCACGCUCCUGGAGCGGCCGAUAUCUGAUUAGCUAGUUGGUGGGGUAAAGGCCUACCAAGGCAUCGAUCAGUAGCUGGUCUGAGAGGACGACCAGCCACACUGGAACUGAGACACGGUCCAGACUCCUACGGGAGGCAGCAGUGGGGAAUUUUGGACAAUGGGCGCAAGCCUGAUCCAGCAAUGCCGCGUGAGUGAAGAAGGCCUUCGGGUUGUAAAGCUCUUUUGUCAGGGAAGAAACGGUGGUUCCUAAUACGGACUGCUAAUGACGGUACCUGAAGAAUAAGCACCGGCUAACUACGUGCCAGCAGCCGCGGUAAUACGUAGGGUGCAAGCGUUAAUCGGAAUUACUGGGCGUAAAGCGUGCGCAGGCGGUUUUGUAAGUCUGUCGUGAAAUCCCCGGGCUCAACCUGGGAAUUGCGAUGGAGACUGCAAGGCUAGAAUCUGGCAGAGGGGGGUAGAAUUCCACGUGUAGCAGUGAAAUGCGUAGAGAUGUGGAGGAACACCGAUGGCGAAGGCAGCCCCCUGGGUCAAGAUUGACGCUCAUGCACGAAA
This 705-nucleotide ribosomal RNA is filed under the name uncultured soil bacterium. Its description in RNAcentral is "bacterial SSU rRNA". It matches the Rfam family "Bacterial small subunit ribosomal RNA", at positions 56 to 758 of the family's 1533-position model. The record is from RNAcentral.